RNAcentral lists this ribosomal RNA (816 nucleotides) under uncultured Roseivirga sp. RNAcentral describes it as "bacterial SSU rRNA". It matches the Rfam family "Bacterial small subunit ribosomal RNA", at positions 72 to 891 of the family's 1533-position model. The record is from RNAcentral. Lineage: Bacteria; Pseudomonadati; Bacteroidota; Cytophagia; Cytophagales; Roseivirgaceae.
GACUACUUUCGGGUAGUUGAGAGUGGCGCACGGGUGCGUAACGCGUAUGCAACCUACCUUGUACAGGGGGAUAGCCCGGAGAAAUUCGGAUUAAUACCCCAUAGCAUUAUCAGAUGGCAUCUGAAGAUAAUUAAAGAUUUAUCGGUACAAGAUGGGCAUGCGUGACAUUAGUUAGUUGGUAGGGUAAAGGCCUACCAAGACGAUGAUGUCUAGGGGUUCUGAGAGGAUGAUCCCCCACACUGGUACUGAGAUACGGACCAGACUCCUACGGGAGGCAGCAGUAGGGAAUAUUGGUCAAUGGGCGAGAGCCUGAACCAGCCAUGCCGCGUGCAGGAAGACGGCCUUCUGGGUUGUAAACUGCUUUUCUACGGGAAGAAAAUGCCCUUGCGAGGGAAAUUGCCGGUACCGUAGGAAUAAGCACCGGCUAACUCCGUGCCAGCAGCCGCGGUAAUACGGAGGGUGCAAGCGUUGUCCGGAUUUAUUGGGUUUAAAGGGUGCGUAGGCGGAUCUUUAAGUCAGUGGUGAAAGCCUGCAGCUUAACUGUAGAAUUGCCAUUGAUACUGGAGGUCUUGAGUGUACUAGAGGUAGGCGGAAUUUAUGGUGUAGCGGUGAAAUGCAUAGAUACCAUAAAGAACACCGAUAGCGUAGGCAGCUUACUGGAGUACAACUGACGCUGAGGCACGAAAGCAUGGGGAGCGAACAGGAUUAGAUACCCUGGUAGUCCAUGCCGUAAACGAUGAUUACUCGAUGUUGGCGAUAUACAGUCAGCGUCCAAGCGAAAGCGUUAAGUAAUCCACCUGGGGAGUACGCUCGCAA